RNAcentral lists this long non-coding RNA (549 nucleotides) under Helianthus annuus (common sunflower). Its description in RNAcentral is "sRNA HanXRQr2_Chr05g0230031". Lineage: Eukaryota; Viridiplantae; Streptophyta; Magnoliopsida; Asterales; Asteraceae. The record is from RNAcentral.
UGCGAAAAAGAUAGAGAUAAUGUCACCUGCUCGUUCCUGCAAGAUUUGUACUAUCCUUUAUUUUUAUUUUUCUCAUUAAGUUUUUUGAUAUUAUUAUUAUUAUAAUAUAUAUUCAACUUGGAAGUUCUAAAACCUGUAUUUCUUUGUAAUUUUGGAAGACGAAAUGGUGUUCUUAUGAAAUCAUGAACAAGGUGCCAUUGUCGAAGAAGAAACAGGGUGCCGCCGGCUAAUCAUUCCACCGUCGAAGAAAAAACAGGUGCCGCCGUCGAAGAAGAAAAAGGGUGUCGCCGUCAAUAUCCUUUUUUUUUUCUGAUCUACUAGUGUAUGAUGGUUCUGAUUAAGUUGUUUAGUGUUUAAUUUUUGAAAGUUUUGUUUCGAUCCUUUUGAUUUUGUUUCGAUCCGGCGAUUCCCAUGAAUAUUACUCAAUACAUCAUGUUGAUUUUGAAAGAACUGUGUGUCUGUUGUUUAUGUAAAUGGGGUGCACACCUGUGUAUACGGUGUUUGUACAUUUGUUGUACACAUGUGUAAGGAAAUUGAUUGUAGGUAUAA